GCUUGAUUUCCCUUCUUAUGGAUGCCAGACCGCUCCCCAUUAUUGUUCAUUCUGGCGAUUUGCAUGAUGUGACGUCCGGUCGCUGCAAAUCACCAUUAUACUUACCUUCUACACAGGGGAACGAUUACCUGGUCCUCCCCUACCUGUAGCUGUAUUUUCGAAGGGAGCCGUAGUCUUGGUGGUCCACAUCCUGGUCAAGGCGGUAAAGAACCAACCUCGGGAGAAGUUCCCAUGUUUUUCUCGAACGUUUUGGUUCUCACAAACGAUUUGGUUCAAACAAACUGACUGCUGUAAAUAUCGUUGUUCGUCCUGCGAAUGGACCCCUCAGAGCCCGCCAGUGGGAGACUGACAAUCGUGAGUAACCUAGCCUUUCGGGACUCAUGCGCUUCGUUCGGCAUUUAAAUUGUCAUACGCACAUUUCACUUGUUCCAUUAUCUAACACCACAAAAU
Pelobates cultripes (western spadefoot toad) is the source of this 450-nucleotide non-coding RNA. The record is from the annotation of a GenBank genome assembly. NCBI's taxonomy places the organism in Eukaryota, Metazoa, Chordata, Amphibia, Anura, Pelobatidae.